This 375-nucleotide ribosomal RNA is filed under the name uncultured organism. Its description in RNAcentral is "partial 16S ribosomal RNA". It matches the Rfam family "Bacterial small subunit ribosomal RNA", at positions 527 to 897 of the family's 1533-position model. The record is from RNAcentral.
GUAGGUGGCAAGCGUUGUCCGGAAUUAUUGGGGCGUAAAGCGCGCGCAGGCGGUUCUUUAAGUCUGAUGUGAAAGCCCGCGGGCUCAACCGUGGAGGGUCAUUGGAAACUGGAGAACUUGAGUACAGAAGAGGAAAGCGGAAUUCCACGUGUAGCGGUGAAAUGCGUAGAGAUGUGGAGGAACACCAGUGGCGAAGGCGGCUUUCUGGUCUGUAACUGACGCUGAGGCGCGAAAGCGUGGGGAGCAAACAGGAUUAGAUACCCUGGUAGUCCACGCCGUAAACGAUGAGUGCUAAGUGUUAGGGGGUUUCCGCCCCUUAGUGCUGCAGCUAACGCAUUAAGCACUCCGCCUGGGGAGUACGGCCGCAAAGGCUGA